GGUCAGGCCACUGUGCACAGACCCAGAUAAACAAAGGGAGUGCAAGCCAGACAGCUAGCUUUCCAUCACCUACUGGGUAGGCAUUCUCUAACACCUUCCUGGCACAGUCUAGAAGGGAAGUGCCAAAUGGGGACACAGCCGACAUCCACCCCAACUCCACAGACACAGAUCAAUUGACCUGGCACCUGGUUCAUCUCUUAUUUGAAUUGCUUUUGAAAGCUCAGGGUAGGAAAAGCCAACAGACUCUGCAACGCAAUGUGCUAUUGGUCUUCGUCAAAUGUACUUCAGCUGUCUGCCUCUCCAUUAUGAUGGCAACUCUUCUGCCUGCUCCAGCUUUACAAGCAAAACACCUACUUUCAGUUCGGAAAGAAUCAAUGGACAGGCUUUUUGCAGCCUGCCACUUAAAGGGAGAGGUAGAGAACUUUGCACUUUGAGGCACAAAUCUUCACUAAGAUCAGGGGGGAAAAGAGGGGAGAGGCUCUCUGAAUGGUAGGCAUCCACCCUCAAACUCUUAAAGAACAGGAGCUGACUCAGAAGUUGGAGAAGAUGUGGCCAGAGAUGUGGUCACAUAAGCUCAUGAGACUUUCUAUCUAGAACAUUCUGAUUAGCAUGCCUUGGCUCCAGCAACAGACAACCUCUGAGCCUGUUUAUUCCACUUUUCCAAUGCACAGAAGGCAGAUGCUGUUUGGCAUAGCACAAGUCAAGGGACAUUUCCUGAGUGACCAGGGUCAUACAGGUGAGCUAAGACUUGGGCCUGACAGGAGAGAAGGUAGUGGUGAGUCAAGCCAUCACCCCCAGAGAUGUCCACUGCAGCGUGACGGUGGGCUUUAGAGGUGGUGACAAGACACUGCAGGCAGGGCCCCAGGAGAACCAAGAUGGUGGUGGGUAUGUGGGCAAAUUGAGAGCCGACCCGGGGACCCAGAGGAGUGAAGGACGGGAGAGCUAGUGUGGUGACAGCGAAGAACAACUGUUCUCAGUCACUCAGCGGCCUGUGUGGAGCCCCGCCCAAAGCUCUUACUCCGGCUGACUGGCCAGAUCCUCACCAGCAAGUCCUCCUCACCUUACUGCACCGUCCAGGUGGGUGACGAUACUCUGUCUGAAGGGCACGUUUCUCCUACCCUGUCUGAACAUCCAGGCUUAUGUCAGGCCU
Long non-coding RNA from Mustela lutreola (European mink), 1150 nucleotides. RefSeq lists it as uncharacterized. The record is from RefSeq and is a predicted model, not a curated record. The transcript has 3 exons. Lineage: Eukaryota; Metazoa; Chordata; Mammalia; Carnivora; Mustelidae.